This 194-nucleotide unclassified non-coding RNA is filed under the name uncultured Clitopilus. RNAcentral's name for it is "partial internal transcribed spacer 2". Lineage: Eukaryota; Fungi; Basidiomycota; Agaricomycetes; Agaricales; Entolomataceae. The record is from RNAcentral.
AAUUCUCAACUAUACAAGUUUUUGAAACCUGUAUAGCUUGGAUCUUGGGAUCUGUGGGCUUUUACCAGCCGGCUAUCCUCAAAUGCAUUAGCAGAGCUUUUGCCGCUAACCUAUGGUGUGAUAAUUAUCUACGCCAUCGAGAGGCGACAUAUUGAAGCUACGCUUCUAAUCGUCCUUUGGGACAAUUAUUGACA